Molecule: long non-coding RNA, 616 nt
Filed under: Mustela putorius furo (domestic ferret)
Lineage: Eukaryota; Metazoa; Chordata; Mammalia; Carnivora; Mustelidae
Description: lncRNA (ENSMPUG00000030803.1)
Source: RNAcentral
UAUUUCAUUGGCAAUGUUUUAAUAUGAUUGAUCCCCUAUUUAUGAAUAUUUAGGUGGUUUCUAGUUUUUUUUUUUUUACUGAAUAAUGCAUAAUUUGUUUGCCCACUUGUCUGAUUAUCUCUUUCAAAUAAAUUCUUAGAAGCAGAAUUGUUGGAUCACAUGGUAUGCCUGUUUCAAAUUUAGGACUGUAUCGUCACACUCUUUCUCCAGAAUAUUUAUUUGAGAGUAAGAGAGAGCACAAGCAGGGGGAGCAGCAGAAGGAGAGGGGAAAGGCAGAAUCCCUGCUAAGCAGAGAGCCUGAUGUGGGGUUCGAUCCCAUGACCCUAGGAUCAUGACCUGAGCCGAAGGCAGAUACUUAACUGACUCAACCACCCAGGUACCCCUGUAUGACCACUUUUAUUAAGUUGUUAAUUUAAGUCAAAUGCACUGAUUUAAAUUCUUACAAAAUAUAGCAUUCUGUGAUUUUUAACAUCUUUUUUCUUUUGAUAUUCCUUGUAAAUCUGUGAGAUGGUAAAGGAGCCUUCAUGGAACAACUCUGAUUGUACUAAGAAAUUAAGUGGACUGCCUGAUGUUGCAAGGCAACUGAAUGAUUUAUCUGGAGCUUGAACUCAAGCCA